RNAcentral lists this long non-coding RNA (254 nucleotides) under Trifolium pratense (red clover). Its description in RNAcentral is "long non-coding RNA (TPRA_LNC003519)". The record is from RNAcentral. Lineage: Eukaryota; Viridiplantae; Streptophyta; Magnoliopsida; Fabales; Fabaceae.
UUAAGCUCUGAUUGAAGAUCAGAAGAUAAGGACUUCAGAAGUUUGUAAGCGUUCAGAAGAUUGUGAGAUUCAGAAGUUGUUAUCUUCAGACGAUGAAGUCUUCAGAACUUCUUAAGGUCUAAGCUUCAUCAAACUCUGAUGAUCUUCUUGAAGUUUGUAAAGAUUCUCUUUUGCAAGUCAACUCUUCUACCAAUGAAGAAAAGGACCUUUCAAGCCUGAUCAGAACAGCUAAUCUCUUUCUGUCUGUUCUCUUU